GACGAACGCUGGCGGCGUGCUUAACACAUGCAAGUCGAACGGAAAGGCCCUGCUUUUGUGGGGCGCUCGAGUGGCGAACGGGUGAGUAACACGUGAGUAACCUGCCCUUGACUUUGGGAUAACUUCAGGAAACUGGGGUUAAUACCGGAUAGGAGCUCCUGCUGCAUGGUGGGGGGUGGAAAGUUGCGGCGGUGGGGGUUGGACUCGCGGGUUAUCAGCUUGUUGGUGGGGUAGUGGCUUACCAAGGCUUUGACGGGUAGCCGGCCUGAGAGGGUGACCGGCCACCUUGGGACUGAGAUACGGCCCAGAGUCCUACGGGAGGCAGCAGUGGGGAGUAUUGCACAAUGGGCGGAAGCCUGAUGCAGCAACGCCGCGUGCGGGAUGACGGCCUUCGGGUUGUGAACCGCUUUCGCCUGUGACGAAGCGUGAGUGACGGUAAUGGGUAAAGAAGCACCGGCUAACUACGUG
This 468-nucleotide ribosomal RNA is filed under the name uncultured bacterium. Its description in RNAcentral is "partial 16S ribosomal RNA". It matches the Rfam family "Bacterial small subunit ribosomal RNA", at positions 28 to 507 of the family's 1533-position model. The record is from RNAcentral.